GAUGUUUUGAUUACUCUGUUAGCUCCUGGAGGAAUGUGGACUUUGAGCUAUGCAGAUUUUGACUCUUCUUUUACUAGGGGUUAAAUAAUAACCCACUGUGAGGCAGGUGUUUAUAUAGCUGUUAGGAAGUUUGUUUCUCAAUUAGUAAAAAAAUUUUUUUUUCUUUAAACAACUCAUUAGCCCCAUUAAAUCCAAGUAUAGCGCUGACUCAGAAGCUUUAUAGUUAGGAUUAUCUCUAGCAAUUAGUACUCUCCUGACUUGGUGAGAAGAGAGAACCCCUGUUCUGCUGUCCCGGAAAUGCUGCGCUCGGAUGUGGAGCCCCAUCGCCAGCCCUUGAACCUUGAUGCUGGAGCAGGCAGCGGCUGGGAGGAACAGGGGAUCCAGAAAGUGCCAGAUGAUGCUUUUCCUCCUCUCAGAAGGAUCACAGGAGCAAGGACGUAAGGUGGCCACCCUGGGAUUGCCGAAGCUCGAGCCUCACCUCCUCUCUGAAGCCCUCUGUCCUGCCGACCCCUCCUCUGUCCUCGGGACGCCCAUUGCACCGCCUCGCUCCCAGUGCACAGUCUGAUGCUCGCUUGCCACGGUCUUUGGAGUGGAUUGUGGUGCUUUCCUGGUCACGUUGGUCUUGCCUCCCCACCAAGACCGCAAGUUCCUCACAGGCAGGUGUACUGCUUCCACUUCAUCUGUGACCCUGCAUUAGUGCUGGGCUGUGUUCAACGGCUGCUCAGUGAAAGCUGGUUGAUGGCUUGAUGGAAAGCGGAUUAGGUGACACGCUCCGGAAGGUCUGGAUUAUCACCUUUCUAUGCUUCGUUGAGAAUGAUCCCAAGGUUGCUGAGGGCUGGCUGGUUAUCUGCAGGCAUCUAGGAUUCCUCCACCCGACACUUCUCCUAGCUGCCCCUGGAGCUGACCAGGCCCAACAGUUUCACUUUCCCUUCCUCUUGCAGGUGUCCAUUUUUAAAAUCCACUCUCCAGAUGCUCCUCCAGUCCCAUGUGAGUGAGCCCCACUGUGUGCUAAGAUAUCAGUGCAAAGGAAGCAGAGCUACUGACCUGCCCCGGGAGCCUUCUGUUUAGUUCAGGAGUCAAAACACGCACUGGGGGGUACCUCCAUGGGUCCCCCCAACAUUUGCCUUUCUUCCAUCCCUCAGGGUGUUUUUAAAGCUUUUAUCGUCUAUCCAAUUUCCUGUUGUUCCUUUCCACAGCCUGGGAACAUGGACCAACUUCUCAAUGUCCUCUUUGUGGUUCCCUGACAUCCUUCAUGGACCUCCUUGUCUUUUUAUGGGUUUUAUUGUUAAUCACCAUAGGAGCAAAUAAGAAUAACAGGCAUGGGAAAGUUACAAAGGUCCCCAAAUCUUUACUUUUAACUCCUGCUUAUGGAAGGUAAAUUUGGUGCAACUUUUCUGGACAGAAAAUUGGCAGUAUUGCCUUUAAAAGUUCGUGUACCACCAAACAUAAAAAUAAACUCCAAAUGAAUUAAAGACUUAAAUGUAAGACCUGAAACCAUAAAGCUCCUAGAAGAAAACAUAGGCAGUAAGCUCUUUGACAUUUGUCUUCGUCAUAUUUUUUUGGAUAUGUUUCCUCAGGCAAGGGAAACAGGAAGCAAAAAUAAACAAAUGGGACUAGAUCAAACUAAAAAGCAUUUGCACAGCAAAGGAAACUACCAACAAAAACGGAAAGGCAGCCUACUGAAUGGGAGAAGAUAUUUGCAAAUGAUACAUCUGAUAGGGGGUUAAUGUUCAAAAUACGCAAAAAACUCAUACAACUCAACAUCAGAAACACAAUCAACCCAAUUAAAAAGUGGGCAGAGGACCUGAACAGACAUUUUUCCAAAGAAGAGUACAGAUGGCCGACAGACACAUGGAAAGAUUCUCAACAUUGCUGAUCAUCAGGGAAAUGCAAAAACCACGAGGCAAUAUCACCUCACACCUGUUGGAAUGGCUAUCAUCAAAAAGACAAGAGAUAACAAGUGUUGGUAAGGAUGUGCAGAAAGGGGAACCCUCAUGCACUUUUGGUGGGAAUGUAAAUUGGUGCAGCCACUAUGGAAAACAGUAAGGAGGCCCCUAAAAAAGGGUGUGCCUCUCAAUUCCCACUUCCUGCCUCCUUCAGGCUAAGCCCACCCUGGGUCUAGAGGGACACUGCCUCCCUGAAAGCUCACCACUCACAGGAGGCCAAGUGCUGCUUUUUUGGGCAAAUAAAUAUGAAUUGUGGACAUG
This is a long non-coding RNA of Orcinus orca (killer whale), 2207 nucleotides long. RefSeq lists it as uncharacterized. The transcript has 2 exons. Lineage: Eukaryota; Metazoa; Chordata; Mammalia; Artiodactyla; Delphinidae. The record is from RefSeq and is a predicted model, not a curated record.